UCUGGAAGCACUGACUCUUCUUAAGCUCUACUUGUCAAAUGUGACAUCUCUGUAUUGCUUCUCUAGCUGGUGGGGUGCCAGUCUUCCCAGCUCGCGAGCACAAUGGGUCGUAUGUAUAUUUGUAACAUGGAUGUCUAUCCUUUUCUUCAUUAGAAGGUCCCUCCUUUAACAUGUGAAAUUAAGUAGAAGACUUGAUCUUACAGAUCUCUUGAGUUGUCCACACAGAAGUCUCUUCAAUGUUGUGCGGGAUUUCCCAUUGCUCCAAUUUCCACCGUGCCCCCCGGUGGUGAUAUUUUUGACUCUUGUUCUGUUUCAAUCCUGUCAUCUGUGGAUGAAAUAAUGCUCCCCUCGCUAGAACCACAGGAGAGACGGUUCUGGCGUCUGCUGCAUACUGUGUCCAUUCCUGUGCUGCCCGCAGACUAUGAAACCCUCAAUCACCAUGGUGAAUUUCCACUUGGAAGAUCUGUUGUCCUGUCUUCACUGUGAUGUCUUGGCAUCACUCGAGGUGUGAAAUGGCUCUGCGCCACAUGGAGAAAGAGCAAAAUGUCACUUUCGAGGUUUGUGACAAAAUUUCGUGAUAGAUUCUUCGGGUGGAGUGAGAGGCCUUUCUCACUGCUGUGACACUGCUGCUGAGGUGGAAAAGCUGAAGAACAGAUUAUUCAGUUUCUACACGGAGCCCUGCUCGACAUGAUGCUAAAACAUGGUGUUUUUUGGACCCAGGUUUUCACUGAUAACAAAGAGGAAGGUCAGUAGCAGAUUAAGACCAGGAAGCUGGUUUACAGCCAUCAUAAUCUGCAAAGAGGUCUCUGCCAGGGCAGCAAGCAUCCAUUUCUUUCUUCCAGUACAUCAGACAGUGGGCAGGAAAAGAUGAGCUUUCAAAGGGUCAGUUUUCUUCUACCAUUACAAAGUUUAGUGCCUUAAAAAAAAAAAUCAACAGAACUGGGAAAUCUCACUUUGGGAGACAGCCUGGCCCUUCUUCAUAACCCGUUCCUCCAAGCAAACUUGAUUUGCUUAUUAAAAUAGGCAUGAAGAAGCUCUUCCGUGAAGCUUCCUUUUCCACCUGAUGUGUAUGAAAGGUUUCAAGAACUUGGCUGCACUCCCCCAGCAGGGUCAACUCUUAAGACUGCUUCUGAAUCCUUCGGUUGUGAUGAAUGUGGGACACCUUUCGAGAUGGGGGAGUUCAGAUCUUGCACAGAAAGCUUCUUUGUUCCUCCAAGGACUUUGAAGACAUCGCCCACCCCUACAGUGGUUUGGAAUGUGGAGAGAGGAUUUUGGUUCUCACCAUUGACCAGGAGUUGUUCUUGGCUUUUGGUGGUAAUGUGCAGGAUGUUCUCACACCACAAGUAAUUGUCCGGCCUCAAAUCCCAACGGUCCCUUCACGUAGGAAACGUUCCCCACUCCUCUCCCAGGUCCUGCCUCUGGUUUAGGUUGUAGACUCUGGGAGAGAACGGGUGUGGUGGGCUCUCUUCACUGCCCUGACGGAAGGGCACCUAGAAGAGCGCCUUCCAUGCAGUGAGUGCUCAGUAAACAUUUGUUGAGGAAAUGCCACUUAUAAAGACAGUGAUUGAUUGGUGGACAAUAAGAUACAUAAAAUAAAAACCUACUGACCCAA
RNAcentral lists this long non-coding RNA (1612 nucleotides) under Equus asinus (donkey). RNAcentral describes it as "lncRNA (ENSEASG00005032714.1)". Lineage: Eukaryota; Metazoa; Chordata; Mammalia; Perissodactyla; Equidae. The record is from RNAcentral.